UAGCUCAGUGGUAGAGUGCUUGCCUUGCAUGCAUGAGGCCUUGGGUUUGAUUCCUUA
This 57-nucleotide transfer RNA is filed under the name Dipodomys ordii (Ord's kangaroo rat). It matches the Rfam family "tRNA", at positions 8 to 63 of the family's 71-position model. Rfam says of the family: Transfer RNA (tRNA) molecules are approximately 80 nucleotides in length. Their secondary structure includes four short double-helical elements and three loops (D, anti-codon, and T loops). Lineage: Eukaryota; Metazoa; Chordata; Mammalia; Rodentia; Heteromyidae. The record is from Rfam by way of RNAcentral.